CCUACGGGUGGCAGCAGUGAGGAAUAUUGGUCAAUGGGCGCAAGCCUGAACCAGCCAAGUCGCGUGAGGGAAGACUGCCCUAUGGGUUGUAAACCUCGUUUGUAAGGGAAGAAUAAUGACUACGUGUAGUCAGAUGCCCGUACCUUAUGAAUAAGCAUCGGCUAACUCCGUGCCAGCAGCCGCGGUAAUACGGAGGAUGCGAGGGUUAUCCGGAUUUAUUGGGUGUAACGGGUGCGUAGGCGGUAUUUUAAGUUAGUGGUAAAGCGUCGGGGACUCACCUUGAUUGGCCAUUAAAACUGGAGUACUAGAGUACAGACGAGGUAGGCGGAAUAAGUUAAGUAGCGGUGAAAUGCUUAGAUAUAACUUAGAACCCCGAUAGCGAAGGCAGCUUACUAGACUGUUACUGACGUUGAAGCACGAGAGCGUGGGUAGCGAACAGGAUUAGAUACCCUUGUAGUC
Molecule: ribosomal RNA, 459 nt
Filed under: uncultured bacterium
Lineage: Bacteria
Description: partial 16S ribosomal RNA
Rfam family: Bacterial small subunit ribosomal RNA
Source: RNAcentral